This 770-nucleotide ribosomal RNA is filed under the name uncultured bacterium. RNAcentral's name for it is "bacterial SSU rRNA". It matches the Rfam family "Bacterial small subunit ribosomal RNA", at positions 8 to 793 of the family's 1533-position model. The record is from RNAcentral.
AGAGUUUGAUCCUGGCUCAGAAUCAACGCUGGCGGCGCGCUUAACACAUGCAAGUCGAACGAGAAAGCCCAGCAAUGGGUGAGUAAAGUGGCGUACGGGUGAGUAACACGUGGGUGAUCUACUCUUUGGUGGGGAAUAACCCUGGGAAACCGGGGCUAAUACCGCAUAAGCCUCUAUUUUCAAAGUGGAGGGAAAGGUGCAAAUCGCCGAAGAAGGAGCCCGCGGCUGAUUAGCUAGUUGGUGGGGUAAAGGCUCACCAAGGCGAAGAUCGGUAGCCGGCCUGAGAGGGCACACGGCCACACUGGCACUGAAACACGGGCCAGACUCCUACGGGAGGCAGCAGUGGGGAAUCUUGCACAAUGGGGGCAACCCUGAUGCAGCGACGCCGCGUGAGCGAUGAUGCCCUUCGGGGUGUAAAGCUCUUGCGGCAUGAACGAUAAUGACUGGUACCUGAAGACGAAGCUGCGGCUAACUACGUGCCAGCAGCCGCGGUACUACGUACGCAGCGAGCGUCGUUCGGAGUACUGGGCGUACAGCGUGCGUACGCGGUCUCGUAAGUCUGGUGUGAAAUCUCGCCUGCUCAACUGGGGAGCGGUGCGCCCGGAAGCUGCUAAUGCUCGGAGUAUAGGAGUANGUACGCCGAAUUCCCUGGUGUACCGGUGCAAUGCGACNCAUCUCAUGAGGAGCAACUGUGGUGUAAACUGCUUACUGUACCAUGACUGACCCCUAAGCCUGAAGCCNGGGGAGCACCUGGGUCGAUACCCUGGAUU